Molecule: long non-coding RNA, 1211 nt
Organism: Paramacrobiotus metropolitanus
Lineage: Eukaryota; Metazoa; Tardigrada; Eutardigrada; Parachela; Macrobiotidae
Exons: 3
Source: RefSeq, a predicted model, not a curated record
CGAAGGGCGAUUGUACAAGUACAGUACUUAAACGUUUACUACAGUACUUUCUGAAAAAUUUUUUUCCGAGAUUCCGAAAAGCGAAAACUCUACGACAUGGAACCUAAUCAAAGAGCUAGCUAAUGUUGAAAAAAAUCAUUACGUACUCACCAGGGGUUUUUGUAGUGCUGUCAUGCGAACGAAGAGAGAUUGUACCAGCUCCUUUGGCUGGCGAUAUAAAUAACCUCCGACUUGUGAGUAGUGUCGUUGUUGUUAAUGAUUUUAGUAUAUUAAUUUUAGUAAUUUUAUUGCAAGGAUUAUUACAUAAGGAUUAUUACAUAAGGAUUGUAUCCGUACAUAAUUGUACUGUAUUUUAUAUUGACUUUAUUCACAGAUCUGGUUACAGUUCUGGUUCAUACAUACUGUCAUAAAAUUAAUUUUAUUUCUGUACACGCUAAAACUGACGGUUGAACAGUGCAUCAGAUGGAAGGAAAUUACGGAUACAAAUUACAAUUCAAUAAAAUCAAUCAUCAAACAAUGCUUAUCGUAUUAUUUUUGCGUGCAGCUCAUGAGAGCAAAGCAUCGAUGGAAAAUCCGCAUUUCUUGGCGAUUUUAUCGCCUGCAUUAACCGCCUCUCCUGUCAGUUUCGCGGAGCCCACCGGUGAAAAUGCAGAUUUGCCGAUUGUUUUGUAAUUAGUGCCGUCAGUACGUGUUAGCUCGUCCACGCGUAAUUGUUGAUGAAACUUUAUUUCCAUUUCCAUUUGUGAAACAUAAUUAACGUGGGGAGAAAUGCCGUUAUGGAUGCCGACGGGCAAUUCGGAGAAAUAUUUCGUUUUCGGGACAUUAUUUCCGUUGAACACCGUAUGUUUUUCAAUAGGGUCUUCCAAUUUUUCUGGAUCUGGAUCAGGAAAUUUCGGUGAAGUUCCAACAUGGUAUGUUGGGAUUUGGAUUGGUGGACGAAAAAUCAAAGGAGAAGAAAAUCCGAAGAAACUACAAUAUUGUCCAUUAAUAAUAGCGCUAGCUGAAGGAGAUGCCGCUUGUGCCUGUAGCAACAGGUUUUCGGUUGAAGGGUUUCCGCCAUCCACUCCCUUGUCGAUGGAACAGCGACGCUUACGCAGUCGCUCGCUAAGAUAUUGGUUGAUGCUGAAAUAGUAUGGCGGAGGCAAGGAUUGUAUCCUGUUUCGAAAGCGAAAGUCUGGAAAAACAAGAAGUUAUAAUACAGAAAAUACAGA